CCCAAACUGGGAUUAGAUACCCCACUAUGCCUAGCCUUAAACACAAAUAGUCAUGCAAACAAAACUAUUCGCCAGAGUACUACCGGCAAUAGCUUAAAACUCAAAGGACUUGGCGGUGCUUUAUACCCUUCUAGAGGAGCCUGUUCUAUAAUCGAUAAACCCCGAUAAACCUCACCAUUCCUUGCUAAUACAGUCUAUAUACCGCCAUCUUCAGCAAA
RNAcentral lists this ribosomal RNA (218 nucleotides) under Cervus hanglu bactrianus (Bactrian deer). RNAcentral describes it as "partial small subunit ribosomal RNA". It matches the Rfam family "Bacterial small subunit ribosomal RNA", at positions 766 to 1025 of the family's 1533-position model. Lineage: Eukaryota; Metazoa; Chordata; Mammalia; Artiodactyla; Cervidae. The record is from RNAcentral.